Molecule: ribosomal RNA, 468 nt
Filed under: uncultured bacterium
Lineage: Bacteria
Description: partial 16S ribosomal RNA
Rfam family: Bacterial small subunit ribosomal RNA
Source: RNAcentral
GACGAACGCUGGCGGCGUGCUUAACACAUGCAAGUCGAACGGAAAGGCCCCGCUUUUGUGGGGUGCUCGAGUGGCGAACGGGUGAGUAACACGUGAGUAACCUGCCCUUGACUUUGGGAUAACUUCAGGAAACUGGGGCUAAUACCGGAUAGGAGCUCCUGCUGCAUGGUGGGGGUUGGAAAGUUUCGUCGGUAGGGGCUGGACUCGCGGCUUAUCAGCUUGUUGGUUGGGUAGUGGCUUACCAAGGCUUUGACGGGUAGCCCGCCUGAGAGGGUGACCGGCCCCAUUGAGACUGGGAUAGGGCCUAGACUCCUACGGGUGGCAGCUGUGGUGAAAACUGCACAUUGGGCGGAAUCCUGUUGCGGCAUCGCCGCUUGCGGGAUGACGGCCUUCGGGUUGUAAGCCUCUUUCGCUUGUGACGAAGCGUGAGUGACGGUAAUUGGUAAAAAAGCACCGGCUAACUAUGUG